Molecule: ribosomal RNA, 253 nt
Filed under: uncultured bacterium
Lineage: Bacteria
Description: partial 16S ribosomal RNA
Rfam family: Bacterial small subunit ribosomal RNA
Source: RNAcentral
CACGUAGGGUGCGAGCGUUGUCCGGAAUUAUUGGGCGUAAAGAGCUCGUAGGCGGUUUGUCGCGUCUGCCGUGAAAGUCCGGGGCUCAACUCCGGAUCUGCGGUGGGUACGGGCAGACUAGAGUGCGGUAGGGGAGAUUGGAAUUCCUGGUGUAGCGGUGAAAUGCGCAGAUAUCAGGAGGAACACCGGUGGCGAAGGCGGGUCUCUGGGCCGAUACUGACGCUGAGGAGCGAAAGCGUGGGGAGCGAACAGG